This 381-nucleotide long non-coding RNA is filed under the name Camponotus floridanus (Florida carpenter ant). RNAcentral's name for it is "uncharacterized LOC112638659". Lineage: Eukaryota; Metazoa; Arthropoda; Insecta; Hymenoptera; Formicidae. The record is from RNAcentral.
AUUAUUAGUUCGAGAAGAUUUGUUUUACUGACAUGUGUAUCUGCUUGAACAGAUUUGCAAUUGCAUUUUAAACAUUCGAGUGUUUUAUUUGACCGUUUUAUUCGAAAAUUUAUCAGGAUUAACAUUUAGAAUAACAAGAUAAUUAUCAAUUUUGUCGGAGAAUUAAUUUGUGACAUGUGUGAAGAAUCAAAGAAACAAUAAACAGAAGAAGCUUAAUUUGACAGUUAAAAAUAUCAACGUUAAGGAACAAUGUUUAUAAAUAUAUUGUUAUUAUAUCGAUUCAUAUUUAUUAUAUCGAUAUAUUAUUAUUACGUACAUUAUGGAAGAAAAGGACGAUUUCUUCAUCUUUUACCGGGACCUCCGAGCGUUCCGAUUUUUGGU